ACUAUCAUGUGAUGAAACCUUGAAACAAUCUUAGGACACCUUCUGACACAGUGCUGUUAUACUGUGAAUGAGAAGUCUUUAUUUUCUGAUGAUGCU
Molecule: non-coding RNA, 96 nt
Organism: Triticum aestivum (bread wheat)
Lineage: Eukaryota; Viridiplantae; Streptophyta; Magnoliopsida; Poales; Poaceae
Source: Rfam